This 1901-nucleotide long non-coding RNA is filed under the name Canis lupus familiaris (dog). RNAcentral describes it as "lncRNA (ENSCAFG00030018965.1)". Lineage: Eukaryota; Metazoa; Chordata; Mammalia; Carnivora; Canidae. The record is from RNAcentral.
AUGACACUGGUGCUGUGGGAGGGCCCCGGAGGGCCCAGAGCCCCUGGGAUGGGAGCAGCACCCUGGCUGUGGUCUCCCCCAUGGUGGAGCCCUGGCAGAGGCAGGAUGGAGAAGGAGGAGUGUAUCCCCGUCACCCAGCUGGGCCGCCUGGUCAAGGAGGCGGGGAUCAAGUCCCUGGAAGAGAUCUGCCCCUUGCCCGCCAUCAGGGAGCCUGAGAUCACUGACCCUUCCCAGGGGGCAUCCCUCCCGGAUGAGGUUUCGAAGAUGACGCAGCCCCUUACUGGCCAGCGAUCGGGGUUCAAGGCGUCUGUUGCCGUUGGAGCUCACACUGGAGACGUCUGGGGGAAACUGAAGGGGAGAAAGAAAAAUGUUCACUAUACUUGGCUUCAUUUAAUUUUUAAAGCUGAAAGUAAUGAAGAUGUCCUACUGCAUGUCCUGUCAUUGUCUUCUGCAGCUCUACUCAGACAUUUUCCCAGGAUGACCAGUGGAGUACCGCGGAGGGUGUAACUGCAGAGCCUAAGGAAGCUCUAUUAAAUCAACACUCAUGGUGCUAAAACACACACACACACACACACACACACACACACUCAUGGUGCUAAUGUCCUCCACCAUCCUCUGAAGCCCAUGGUGAAAAUGCACCACUCCUUCCUAGCAGUCAGCUCUGCGAUGCACGGAGACCUUACCUCUGCGUGUCUCUGCUAACUCUCAUUAAUUUUUCUGAAAAUGCAGGACAGCUGUGACUCAGCAAAAUUUCUUGACGGACAACUUUUGUCUCCCUUAGCAACUUCCCUCUAGCCUUCCAGAUUCUUGUCUUUUGAGCUAUAAAGUUAGAUGGUUCAAUACCAGAAUCUUGCCAGAAAGUUAGAUGGUUCAAUACCGAAUCUUCUAAUUUCUUACUUAAGAAUAUCAGCAAGUGUGAGCUUGAAAAUGAAGUCUCUACAUUGAAAAAAUUCAUUCUGAGGUUAAAAUGAAAUAUUCGAAAAUCUCAAAAAGGGUCCCCCUCAAAACCAAUAAAUGCUUAAAUAAACAUGAUGAGACAGCCAUAUAAAAGCUAUUUAAAAAUAAAAAUAUAUGGUUAGGAUGAAAUAGCUGGUUAUUACAGCAUGCUUGAUGCUAUUAAUAGGGGUUAAUUAUUGGUAUUAAAAUAUAUUGGGGGAUACGUUGGGAAAUCAGAAUACAGAUUGGAUAGUAAAUAACCUUAGAGCACAACAAUUUAGUUACAUUGCUAAGUUAAUUGUAUGAUGGACAUUUAAUACAUCUCUAUUAAUGCACCAAAGAAAACUCACAGAAUGAGUAAAGGGUGGGUGGUGGUUAAAGCAUACAGGCACAGGGGUGCCUCAGUGGCAUAGUCAGGUAAGCAUCUUGUUGGUUUCAGCCUAGGUCCUGAUCUCAGGGCUGUGAGAUCAAGCCCCAAGUCUGGCUCCAUGCUCAGCACUGAAUCUGCUUAAGAUUCUCUCUCCCUCUGCCCCUCCCACCCUUUCUAAAAUAAAUAAGUCUUAAAAAAAAAAAGAAGCAUUUAGGCACAUAUAUAGCUGGAGUUUGGAUCCUAGCUCUCCAUUCAGUUCAGUGAACUUGAAAAGUUUCUCAAUCUAUAAAGUAGAAAUAACAAUGAUGACCAAUUAAUAGUGUCAUUGUUACAAGAAUUAAAUGAAGGAAUCCAUUUAGCACACAGUGCCUGACAGUAGUAAGCACUCGAUAUAUGCCUUCAUUAUUACUCUUGACAGAUUUUUAUAGAUUAUUUGUUUAGGGAAAAAUUAUUUUGGUAUAAAUGGUCAGCAGAGAUCUGAUGCUUUCCUUUCUCUCUACAUUUCCCAAUUAAAUUACUUUAAAAGGGGUAAGGGACUUACUUAAGAUGACUUUCAGAGUCCUUGCAUGAGGAAACAUAAUAUAACAAAUUCUGU